RNAcentral lists this ribosomal RNA (1026 nucleotides) under Brachycephalus clarissae. RNAcentral's name for it is "partial 16S ribosomal RNA". It matches the Rfam family "Bacterial large subunit ribosomal RNA", at positions 840 to 2572 of the family's 2925-position model. The record is from RNAcentral. Lineage: Eukaryota; Metazoa; Chordata; Amphibia; Anura; Brachycephalidae.
UAGUGAUAGCUGGUUUCUCAAGAAAAGAAUCUUAGUUCACCCUAAAGCCCACAUAAUAAUAUAAAUAACAACACAACUUUAGAGCAAUCCAAACAAGGGACAGCCUGUUUGAAAAAGGAUACAACCUUCACUCGCGGGUAAUGAUACUCACUAUAACACCAAGUAGACCUAAAACCAGCCAUCUUAGUAAAAUGCGUUAAAGCUUUAUCUUAUACCACUCUUUCUCUUUUCCCACCCCCGAAUCACUAUUGAGAACUUCUAUACCGUAUAGAAACUUUUAUGUUAAAACUAGUAACAAGAACCAAUUCUCUUAAAUACACGUGUAUGUUAGGGCGAACUCACCACUAACACUUAUCUGCCAUGAAAAACAAUAGCAACUCCCUAAGAAAACCCUAUUAAUUAUUUUGUUAACCCUACACAAGAGUACUUCAAGAAAGAUAAAAAUGGAAAGAAGGAACUCGGCAAAUGGGGGAUCCCGCCUGUUUACUAAAAACACCGCCUCUUGACUACCAUAAGAGGUCCAGCCUGCCCAGUGAGAAAUUCAACGGCCGCGGUAACCUGACCGUGCAAAGCCUGACCGUGCAAAGGUAGCGUAAUCACUUGUUUUUUAAAUAGAGACUAGUAUGAAUGGCACCACAAGGAUAAAACUGUCUCCUUUCCACAAUCAGUGAAACUAAUCUCCUAGUGAAGAAGCAAGGAUAUUACUGUAAGACGAAAAGACCCUAUGGAGCUUAAAACAAACAACUAAUGCUUUUCUUAUCUCCAUUUUUCCCCAAAGCACUGUAGUUACUAAUUUUUGGUUGGGGUGACCACGGAGAAAAAUUUAUCCUCCACAACGAAAUUCUUUAGACAAAGCCACAGCUUUAUCUAGCAAUAAAUUGGCGCACUGACCCAAUAACUUGAUCAGCGAACUAAGUUACCCUAGGGAUAACAGCGCAAUCCGCCUCGAGAGUUCUUAUUAACAGGCGGCUUUACGACCUCGAUGUUGGAUCAGGGUAUCCCAGUGGUGCAGCCGCUACUAAAGGU